CAGUUUAGUAAAUAGUUUAGUUUUUCCUUUUGUUUCAUUUAUUAUGCAGUAUCCCAUCUGACGUUCUCCAGCUCAUGCGGUCUGUCACAUAUGUUUCAUACAAAUCUAGAUUGGGCAAAUGAAUGAGAAUCUGUUGGUAAUUCUAGUCCAUUCAUUAUGGUGUAUCCAACUGAUUUCUGAUUUUACUUGGCAAGACGUUGGUAAAGUUGGUAUCUACUACCCUUUCUAUAUCACUGUUACUGUUCCCACUGGAAGGCUAUUCCAGGUAUCUACUACCCUUUCCAUAUCACUGUUACUGCUCCCACU
Non-coding RNA from Pelobates cultripes (western spadefoot toad), 306 nucleotides. Lineage: Eukaryota; Metazoa; Chordata; Amphibia; Anura; Pelobatidae. The record is from the annotation of a GenBank genome assembly.